AGAAUCAACGCUGGCGGCGUGCCUAACACAUGCAAGUCGAACGCGAAAGCCCCGCAAGGGGUAAGUAGAGUGGCAAACGGGUGAGUAACACGUGGGUGACCUGCCUUCGAGUGGGGGAUAACGUCCCGAAAGGGACGCUAAUACCGCAUGAUAUCCUGCCUUUGGAAAGGUGGAGAUCAAAGCUGGGGAUCGCAAGACCUGGCGCUUGAAGAGGGGCCCGCGCCUGAUUAGCUAGUUGGUGGGGUAACGGCUCACCAAGGCUACGAUCAGUA
RNAcentral lists this ribosomal RNA (272 nucleotides) under uncultured bacterium. RNAcentral describes it as "partial small subunit ribosomal RNA". It matches the Rfam family "Bacterial small subunit ribosomal RNA", at positions 26 to 285 of the family's 1533-position model. The record is from RNAcentral.